AAAGGGUCCGUAGGCGGAUCUGUAAGUCAGUGGUGAAAUCUCAUAGCUUAACUAUGAAACUGCCAUUGAUACUGCAGGUCUUGAGUAAAGUAGAAGUGGCUGGAAUAAGUAGUGUAGCGGUGAAAUGCAUAGAUAUUACUUAGAACACCAAUUGCGAAGGCAGGUCACUAUGUUUUAACUGACGCUGAUGGACGAAAGCGUGGGGAGCGAACAGGAUUAGAUACCCUGGUAGUCCACGCCGUAAACGAUGCUAACUCGUUUUUGGGCUUUAGGGUUCAGAGACUAAGCGAAAGUGAUAAGUUAGCCACCUGGGGAGUACGUUCGCAAGAAUGAAACUCAAAGGAAUUGACGGGGGCCCGCACAAGCGGUGGAUUAUGUGGUUUAAUUCGAUGAUACGCGAGGAACCUUACCAAGGCUUAAAUGGGAAUUGACAGGUUUAGAAAUAGACUUUUCUUCGGACAAUUUUCAAGGUGCUGCAUGGUUGUCGUCAGCUCGUGCCGUGAGGUGUUAGGUUAAGUCCUGCAACGAGCGCAACCCCUGUCACUAGUUGCCAUCAUUCAGUUGGGGACUCUAGUGAGACUGCCUACGCAAGUAGAGAGGAAGGUGGGGAUGACGUCAAAUCAUCACGGCCCUUACGCCUUGGGCCACACACGUAAUACAAUGGCCAGUACAGAGGGCAGCUACCUAGCGAUAGGAUGCGAAUCUCGAAAGCUGGUCUCAGUUCGGAUUGGAGUCUGCAACUCGACUCUAUGAAG
Molecule: ribosomal RNA, 755 nt
Filed under: Chryseobacterium sp. GLFT 460
Lineage: Bacteria; Pseudomonadati; Bacteroidota; Flavobacteriia; Flavobacteriales; Weeksellaceae
Description: bacterial SSU rRNA
Rfam family: Bacterial small subunit ribosomal RNA
Source: RNAcentral